Molecule: long non-coding RNA, 2455 nt
Filed under: Nicotiana benthamiana
Lineage: Eukaryota; Viridiplantae; Streptophyta; Magnoliopsida; Solanales; Solanaceae
Description: long non-coding RNA (NBEN_LNC037244)
Source: RNAcentral
CUUAACGGAGUUAGUGGAAUCUCGAGAGAGUCUCUCGGGGACUGGACUAACCACAAGUUGUGGUGAACCAGGAUAAAUUCGAUGUGUCCUUUCCUUAAUCUUUUAAUUUCCGCAUUUACUUUACUCCUGCAAUUUUAAUUCCGUAAUAUUUAUCAAUAUUCUCGUGGCGCACUAUUCACCCCCCUCUAGUGACGGGCAUAAAUCCUAACAUCACUACAAGAUGCAUAGAUAUGCAAAGCGACAGAAAUUUACAAAAUAAUAAUACAUAAAAUAGCCUAAAUACAAUCAAUAAAAGAAACAAAGAGAAAUCUAAAUUAAAACUUUGAAGUUCCAUUCUUCAUAUGUAUUCAUGAUUUCAUAUUUUCAGCUUACACAAUGUUACAGUCGUGUACCUGAUAUUGGAAACAAGAGGAGGAAGGUGAGAAAUCAGCAAGGCAGUAAUCAGCACAGCAAAACAACAACAGUAGUAGCUAAACCCAGCAACAGAUUUCAACCAAAACCAAGUAAAAUCAAACCACGAAAUACCAACAGAAAUGGACUUGACCCACAACAAUAUCAACACAAGCCAAAUGAACUCAAAGACACACUAGAAUUACUUAAGAUCGGUCUUAGUGUAUUUGAAUCAAGAGAAAUAAAAUCAAUGAAGCAAGAAGAGAAGCUUCAAAUAAUCAGUUGGGUUUUCAGCUCUCUAAUCUUUUCAACUGUCAAUCCUUUUCUUAUUCUCUGUUUUCAUUCUCUUAAAAUCAAUGGGGUUUUCAGCUCUUUAACUUUUCAACUCUCAAUCCUUUUCUUAUUCUAUGUUUUCGUUCUCUUAAGUUCUGAAAUUUUUUGAUGUCCAAAUUCCAGUCCCUUUAAGUGUAAAAUGAGUCAUAUUAUAUACCGCAAAGCCAGAUUCCUUUCUUAUACCCUUUUAAUAUUAUUACUACCCCUUUUAUUAUUACCUAUACUAUUUCUGAUUUUCAAUUAAGUAAAAAAGUAGUCAACGCGGACCCCACCGUUCCCCUCUUUACAAUGGACCACAUUAUUAAUCAUAUUUUUACUUUACAUCAUUAUGCUCCCCACAAGUCUUGUCCCCUCUUAUUUUAAUUAAAAUUUGUGGGUCCACAUUUAAUCAAUUUCCAAAAUACCCCCGAAAUUAUUGAAAUUACCGUUCUACCCCAUCCCGUCAAUCUGCACCAAAAUUAUCAAAAAACACCAACUUACUACAGCUAUAACUAAAUUCCUGAUCAAAUUCAACAAUUAAUUCAAGGUAUAUGAUGAAAAAAAAAGAACCAACUGAAAUUAUUCUGAACAAUAUUCUUAGCAAACAUACUUUCAAAUUCAAUAACAAUAACAUAAUUGAACACAACAAACUAGUAGACUUCAAUCACUAAACUCAGACUCAAAUUAAACUUAACAGAUCAAACAAACAACUUUAAAUCUCUAACUCAGAUCCAAAUUUAGACUCAACACAACAAUAAAACAAAUUCAAAUCACUAAACUCAUAAUCAAUUGAACUUCAAAUUAAAUUUAAUAAUAUUGCGACCAAGAUGAAAGAUUUAUUAAACUAAAACUUCUAUAAUAAAACUAAAUUCUUUUAAAUAAAUAAAAACAAACUGAAGAAAUAAACAAGAAAAUGAUAAAUAAUGAACAAGAAAAUAAUAGACAUAUACUGAUUUUAGAUUCGAGAAUAUCAAACAAAAUACAGAUAGAAAUAAAACUUAAACCAACUAACCGGAUCGAAACAACGACGAACUCGAACGAAAAUAAAUCUGCCCCGAAAUUUUGAAACCAAAACAACUCGAAUCUGGCCCAAAAAUUUUGUAUAUUUUCUGGUUGAUUUAAAGCGAUAUCACUGGACGCGAAGACGACCACGAACUGGACGACGUGGACGACCAGGAACUGGACUGGAACAAAAGGGACCGUUUGGACACUGGGCUGCUCACUUGAAGAAGCUGAGGCAGAAGCUGGUUGGUUUGGUUAGUUGGGCGUGAGGAAGUACGGUGGUUUUAGGUCGUUCGUGGCUGUAGCUAUGGUUGCUGCUGGUUCACAACGGAGCUCCUGGAGCUUGGGUGAUCGCUGGGGAUGACUGGUCGUUUGGCUCGUGAAGGUGGUCGACCAUGGCUGCUUCGUGAGGGUGUAACGACGGGGAAGGGGAAGUUGCCGGCGUACUUCUGGUCGUUUGGCAGUGGCUGCUCGACGGGCUGGAGGAGACGAUGAUUGUUUGGACAUGGAUGACGUGGGGGAGGGGUUGAUGAGGAAGAUGACGGGAAGGGCAGCCAUGAUUGGAGGGGUUUGGAUCUUUGUGGUUUUAGGGUUUGAAGAUGUGUUUGGAGAAGAUGAAGAGAGGCUAGGUUUUUUUUCUUCUCUCUAGUUCAAAAAAUCUGAUGGGUGUUGGUUAUUUGGGGGGUUGGAUCGGGUCAAGGGUUUUUUGGGUUGGGUUGAUGUGUUUUUGGGCCUAGAUUUAGAAUUGACU